RNAcentral lists this transfer RNA (71 nucleotides) under Heterodermia casarettiana. RNAcentral describes it as "tRNA-Thr". It matches the Rfam family "tRNA". From Rfam's summary of the family: Transfer RNA (tRNA) molecules are approximately 80 nucleotides in length. Their secondary structure includes four short double-helical elements and three loops (D, anti-codon, and T loops). Lineage: Eukaryota; Fungi; Ascomycota; Lecanoromycetes; Caliciales; Physciaceae. The record is from RNAcentral.
GCCUAGUUAGCAUAAAAGCAAUGCAGCCGUUUUGUAAUCGGCAGAAGUAAGUGCGAUACUUGCACCGGGCU